Molecule: ribosomal RNA, 450 nt
Filed under: uncultured bacterium
Lineage: Bacteria
Description: bacterial SSU rRNA
Rfam family: Bacterial small subunit ribosomal RNA
Source: RNAcentral
GUGGGGAAUAUUGGACAAUGGGCGAAAGCCUGAUCCAGCCAUGCCGCGUGUGUGAAGAAGGUCUUCGGAUUGUAAAGCACUUUAAGUUGGGAGGAAGGGCAGUAAGUUAAUACCUUGCUGUUUUGACGUUACCGACAGAAUAAGCACCGGCUAACUUCGUGCCAGCAGCCGCGGUAAUACGAAGGGUGCAAGCGUUAAUCGGAAUUACUGGGCGUAAAGCGAGCGUAGGUGGUUUUGUAAGUUGGAGGUGAAAUCCCCGGGCUCAACCUGGGAACUGCAUCCAAAACUGCAUGACUAGAGUACGGGAGAGGGUAGUGGAAUUUCCUGUGUAGCGGUGAAAUGCGUAGAUAUAGGAAGGAACACCAGUGGCGAAGGCGACUACCUGGACUGAUACUGACACUGAGGUGCGAAAGCGUGGGGAGCAAACAGGAUUAGAAACCCGGGUAGUCC